AUGAACGCUGGCGGCGUGCCUAAUACAUGCAAGUCGAGCGAACAGACGAGGAGCUUGCUCCUCUGACGUUAGCGGCGGACGGGUGAGUAACACGUGGAUAACCUACCUAUAAGACUGGGAUAACUUCGGGAAACCGGAGCUAAUACAGGCGAAUAUAUUGAACCGCAUGGCUCAAUAGUGAAAGACGGUUUUGCUGUCACUUAUAGAUGGAUCCGCGCCGCAUUAGCUAGUUGGUAAGGUAACGGCUUACCAAGGCAACGAUGCGUAGCCGACCUGAGAGGGUGAUCGGCCACACUGGAACUGAGACACGGUCCAGACUCCUACGGGAGGCAGCAGUAGGGAAUCUUCCGCAAUGGGCGAAAGCUUGACGGAGCAACGCCGCGUGAGUGAUGAAGGUCUUCGGAUCGUAGAACUCUGUUAUUCGGGAAGAACAAAUGUGUAAGUAACUAUGCACGUCUUGACGGUACCUAAUCAGAAAGCCACGGCUAACUACGUG
RNAcentral lists this ribosomal RNA (496 nucleotides) under uncultured bacterium. Its description in RNAcentral is "partial 16S ribosomal RNA". It matches the Rfam family "Bacterial small subunit ribosomal RNA", at positions 29 to 507 of the family's 1533-position model. The record is from RNAcentral.